ACGCUGGCGGCGUGCCUAACACAUGCAAGUCAACUUGACUGAAGGAGCAAUCUGACAGUAGAGUGGCGCAAGGGUGCGUAACGCGUAAGUAACUUGCCCCAAGGUAAGGAAUAACGUCGAGAAAUCGGCGCUAAUACCUCAUAAUGCAGCGGAUCCGCAUGGAUAUGUUGUUAAAGGUUUACCGCCUUGGGAUAGGCUUGCGUCUGAUUAGCUAGUUGGUGUGGUAACGGCACACCAAGGCUACGAUCGGUAACUGGUCUGAGAGGAUGAUCAGUCACACUGGAACUGAGACACGGUCCAGACUCCUACGGGAGGCAGCAGUGAGGAAUAUUGGGUAAUGCUCGAAAGAGUGACCCAGCAACGCCGCGUGGAGGAUGAAGGUAUUCUAUAUCGUAAACUCCUGUGAGAGCAGACGAAAGACAGAUUAUUAAUCUGGAUGACUGUAUGCUCAGAGGAAGCCCCGGCUAACUACGUG
Molecule: ribosomal RNA, 475 nt
Filed under: uncultured bacterium
Lineage: Bacteria
Description: bacterial SSU rRNA
Rfam family: Bacterial small subunit ribosomal RNA
Source: RNAcentral